GCCCCGGUGGCGGAACUGGUAGACGCAACGGACUUAAAAUCCGUCGGCCUUACAGCCAUCCCGGUUCGAUUCCGGGCCGGGGCACCA
RNAcentral lists this transfer RNA (87 nucleotides) under Steroidobacteraceae bacterium. RNAcentral's name for it is "tRNA-Leu". It matches the Rfam family "tRNA". Rfam says of the family: Transfer RNA (tRNA) molecules are approximately 80 nucleotides in length. Their secondary structure includes four short double-helical elements and three loops (D, anti-codon, and T loops). Further hydrogen bonds mediate the characteristic L-shaped molecular structure. tRNAs have two regions of fundamental functional importance: the anti-codon, which is responsible for specific mRNA codon recognition, and the 3' end, to which the tRNAs corresponding amino acid is attached (by aminoacyl-tRNA synthetases). tRNAs cope with the degeneracy of the genetic code in two manners: having more than one tRNA (with a specific anti-codon) for a particular amino acid; and 'wobble' base-pairing, i.e. permitting non-standard base-pairing at the 3rd anti-codon position. Lineage: Bacteria; Pseudomonadati; Pseudomonadota; Gammaproteobacteria; Steroidobacterales; Steroidobacteraceae. The record is from RNAcentral.